GCCGAAGUGGCGGAAUUGGUAGACGCGUCGGUCUCAAAAACCGAUGAGCCUAGCUCGUGCCGGUUCGAUUCCGGCCUUCGGUACCA
This 86-nucleotide transfer RNA is filed under the name Candidatus Marinamargulisbacteria bacterium SCGC AG-343-K17. RNAcentral describes it as "tRNA-Leu". It matches the Rfam family "tRNA". From Rfam's summary of the family: Transfer RNA (tRNA) molecules are approximately 80 nucleotides in length. Their secondary structure includes four short double-helical elements and three loops (D, anti-codon, and T loops). RNAcentral also lists the same sequence under 1 other name. The record is from RNAcentral. Lineage: Bacteria; Bacillati; Candidatus Margulisiibacteriota; Candidatus Marinamargulisbacteria.